This 253-nucleotide ribosomal RNA is filed under the name uncultured bacterium. RNAcentral's name for it is "partial 16S ribosomal RNA". It matches the Rfam family "Bacterial small subunit ribosomal RNA", at positions 524 to 776 of the family's 1533-position model. The record is from RNAcentral.
UACGGGGGGGGCAAGCGUUGUUCGGAAUUACUGGGCGUAAAGGGUUCGUAGGUGGCCUACUAAGUCAGACGUGAAAUCCCUCAGCUUAACUGGGGAACUGCGUCUGAUACUGGUAGGCUUGAGUGCAGGAGAGGAACGCGGAAUUCCAGGUGUAGCGGUGAAAUGCGUAGAUAUCUGGAGGAACACCGAUGGCGAAGGCAAUCCCCUGGGCCUGCACUGACGCUCAUGCACGAAAGCGUGGGGAGCAAACAGG